UACGGAGGAUGCAAGCGUUAUCCGGAUUCAUUGGGUUUAAAGGGUGCGUAGGUGGGUUUGUAAGUCAGUGGUGAAAUAUUGUCGCUUAACGAUAAGGUUGCCAUUGAUACUGCAGGUCUUGAGUUUGGUUGAGGUAGGCGGAAUGUGCAGUGUAGCGGUGAAAUGCAUAGAGAUUGCACAGAACUCCGAUUGCGAAGGCAGCUUACUAAGCCAAAACUGACGCUGAGGCACGAAAGUGUGGGGAUCAAACAGGAUUAGA
RNAcentral lists this ribosomal RNA (259 nucleotides) under uncultured prokaryote. Its description in RNAcentral is "partial 16S ribosomal RNA". It matches the Rfam family "Bacterial small subunit ribosomal RNA", at positions 524 to 782 of the family's 1533-position model. The record is from RNAcentral.